RNAcentral lists this ribosomal RNA (2408 nucleotides) under Escherichia coli. RNAcentral describes it as "partial 23S ribosomal RNA". It matches the Rfam family "Bacterial large subunit ribosomal RNA", at positions 556 to 2925 of the family's 2925-position model. Lineage: Bacteria; Pseudomonadati; Pseudomonadota; Gammaproteobacteria; Enterobacterales; Enterobacteriaceae. The record is from RNAcentral.
CCGUGUACGUACAAGCAGUGGGAGCACAGAGCAAUCUGUGUGACUGCGUACCUUUUGUAUAAUGGGUCAGCGACUUAUAUUCUGUAGCAAGGUUAACCGAAUAGGGGAGCCGAAGGGAAACCGAGUCUUAACUGGGCGUUAAGUUGCAGGGUAUAGACCCGAAACCCGGUGAUCUAGCCAUGGGCAGGUUGAAGGUUGGGUAACACUAACUGGAGGACCGAACCGACUAAUGUUGAAAAAUUAGCGGAUGACUUGUGGCUGGGGGUGAAAGGCCAAUCAAACCGGGAGAUAGCUGGUUCUCCCCGAAAGCUAUUUAGGUAGCGCCUCGUGAAUUCAUCUCCGGGGGUAGAGCACUGUUUCGGCAAGGGGGUCAUCCCGACUUACCAACCCGAUGCAAACUGCGAAUACCGGAGAAUGUUAUCACGGGAGACACACGGCGGGUGCUAACGUCCGUCGUGAAGAGGGAAACAACCCAGACCGCCAGCUAAGGUCCCAAAGUCAUGGUUAAGUGGGAAACGAUGUGGGAAGGCCCAGACAGCCAGGAUGUUGGCUUAGAAGCAGCCAUCAUUUAAAGAAAGCGUAAUAGCUCACUGGUCGAGUCGGCCUGCGCGGAAGAUGUAACGGGGCUAAACCAUGCACCGAAGCUGCGGCAGCGACACUGUGUGUUGUUGGGUAGGGGAGCGUUCUGUAAGCCUGUGAAGGUGUGCUGUGAGGCAUGCUGGAGGUAUCAGAAGUGCGAAUGCUGACAUAAGUAACGAUAAAGCGGGUGAAAAGCCCGCUCGCCGGAAGACCAAGGGUUCCUGUCCAACGUUAAUCGGGGCAGGGUGAGUCGACCCCUAAGGCGAGGCCGAAAGGCGUAGUCGAUGGGAAACAGGUUAAUAUUCCUGUACUUGGUGUUACUGCGAAGGGGGGACGGAGAAGGCUAUGUUGGCCGGGCGACGGUUGUCCCGGUUUAAGCGUGUAGGCUGGUUUUCCAGGCAAAUCCGGAAAAUCAAGGCUGAGGCGUGAUGACGAGGCACUACGGUGCUGAAGCAACAAAUGCCCUGCUUCCAGGAAAAGCCUCUAAGCAUCAGGUAACAUCAAAUCGUACCCCAAACCGACACAGGUGGUCAGGUAGAGAAUACCAAGGCGCUUGAGAGAACUCGGGUGAAGGAACUAGGCAAAAUGGUGCCGUAACUUCGGGAGAAGGCACGCUGAUAUGUAGGUGAAGUCCCUCGCGGAUGGAGCUGAAAUCAGUCGAAGAUACCAGCUGGCUGCAACUGUUUAUUAAAAACACAGCACUGUGCAAACACGAAAGUGGACGUAUACGGUGUGACGCCUGCCCGGUGCCGGAAGGUUAAUUGAUGGGGUCAGCGCAAGCGAAGCUCUUGAUCGAAGCCCCGGUAAACGGCGGCCGUAACUAUAACGGUCCUAAGGUAGCGAAAUUCCUUGUCGGGUAAGUUCCGACCUGCACGAAUGGCGUAAUGAUGGCCAGGCUGUCUCCACCCGAGACUCAGUGAAAUUGAACUCGCUGUGAAGAUGCAGUGUACCCGCGGCAAGACGGAAAGACCCCGUGAACCUUUACUAUAGCUUGACACUGAACAUUGAGCCUUGAUGUGUAGGAUAGGUGGGAGGCUUUGAAGUGUGGACGCCAGUCUGCAUGGAGCCGACCUUGAAAUACCACCCUUUAAUGUUUGAUGUUCUAACGUGGACCCGUGAUCCGGGUUGCGGACAGUGUCUGGUGGGUAGUUUGACUGGGGCGGUCUCCUCCUAAAGAGUAACGGAGGAGCACGAAGGUUGGCUAAUCCUGGUCGGACAUCAGGAGGUUAGUGCAAUGGCAUAAGCCAGCUUGACUGCGAGCGUGACGGCGCGAGCAGGUGCGAAAGCAGGUCAUAGUGAUCCGGUGGUUCUGAAUGGAAGGGCCAUCGCUCAACGGAUAAAAGGUACUCCGGGGAUAACAGGCUGAUACCGCCCAAGAGUUCAUAUCGACGGCGGUGUUUGGCACCUCGAUGUCGGCUCAUCACAUCCUGGGGCUGAAGUAGGUCCCAAGGGUAUGGCUGUUCGCCAUUUAAAGUGGUACGCGAGCUGGGUUUAGAACGUCGUGAGACAGUUCGGUCCCUAUCUGCCGUGGGCGCUGGAGAACUGAGGGGGGCUGCUCCUAGUACGAGAGGACCGGAGUGGACGCAUCACUGGUGUUCGGGUUGUCAUGCCAAUGGCACUGCCCGGUAGCUAAAUGCGGAAGAGAUAAGUGCUGAAAGCAUCUAAGCACGAAACUUGCCCCGAGAUGAGUUCUCCCUGACCCUUUAAGGGUCCUGAAGGAACGUUGAAGACGACGACGUUGAUAGGCCGGGUGUGUAAGCGCAGCGAUGCGUUGAGCUAACCGGUACUAAUGAACCGUGAGGCUUAACCUUACAACGCCGAAGGUGUUU